AUGCCAGACAAGAAAGGCGCAACCAUGCUUGAGGACCUGCCAGGGGAGAUUAUGGACAUGAUACUCAUCCGAUUGCCCUCCAAAGACGUCGGCCGCUGUCGAGUUGUCAACACGUCAUGGCGCAGUGCCACAUCCACCCCCAAAUUCAUGCUCGAACACCACCGCCGACAGCCGUUGGUUCCCAUUGUCGAUGCGCAUGGGCGGGCUGUCAGUCAUGUCGUCUUUGGUGACGUCGGUGGUGGCACCUCCAGUCAAGAGCUCUGGCCGUUGGUCCGGGAAGGCAAUCUCAGUUUCACUCUCAAAGGCUCCUGCGAUGGCUUCUUGAUUAUCUACCAUCACACGCAACCCAGUUUCUUCAUCUGCAACCCGGUCACCCGCAAGUAUGUUAUCCUACCGCAGCCUCAAGGGCAAUUCAACUUCGUAAUUGGUUUCUACCGCCACCAUCCAACUGGAGAAUAUAGGGUGCUCUGGUUCUCUCUGUCACAUGACUCGUCUAAAUCCAGCGUAUAUGUCCUCACAGUGGGAUCUGACAAGCCAAGGCGCAUCAUAGUAAAAAUUCCAACGGUCUCAUCGCCUUCUGUGGAAAAUAGGUUAAUGAAUGAGGUGCACUUUUCAUCCGGCUUUUCACCACCAGUCCACCACCGUGGCAGCCUGCACUGGUGGCUUUCUGGUUCCAGUGACAUCACAGGAGGAUGUGCAGACACUAUUGUGUUUGACACAGAAGCCGAGUCAUUCCGGUGGAUGCGCAGUCCUGGCCAGCAUUGCCCUAAUAGCAUGCUGUUUGAUAUGAAAGGGACGCUUGCAUUCUGGGCCGGCUCGACUCCUGCUAGUUUCUCCACUAUGGAUGUCUGGGUGAUGCAAGAUUACGAGGCCCAAAUCUGGGCUUUCAAGUAUCGGAUCGAACUGUCAACGGUGGAGGCAUCACGUCAACUUUAUUUAACUUCUUACAAAAAGAAAAAGAGAACACCAAUUGAUUCAAUGGUGCAGUCGUUCAAUGAUAUGGCUGUGUUAAAUGAGCGUGAGCUACUGGUCAGGUUCAAUGGCAAACAUGUGUUGCACUGUGACGUUGAUGGCAAAUUCUUAGGUUUGGUUAAAAUUGGUAAGAAUCAGCAUUGUAUGCGGCUUGCUCAUUACCGCCUCCAGGAGAGCAUUCUUCCAAUUCCGUCCCAUGAGAUGCAUCAAGGUUAA
RNAcentral lists this ribosomal RNA (1188 nucleotides) under Triticum aestivum (bread wheat). RNAcentral describes it as "partial small subunit ribosomal RNA". The record is from RNAcentral. Lineage: Eukaryota; Viridiplantae; Streptophyta; Magnoliopsida; Poales; Poaceae.